GCAAGAGAAAAAAUGAGCGCAAUCCAAUUUCGCCACUUUUUGCACCUCCCAGAUAUUGGAUGUCGGUCGCUCACAUGGAAAUAACCGAGAACCAGGCUCCCCUUUGGAAUUUGCUUGUAAUCAUUCUGGAGGUGAAAAAACUGAAACGUCAAGACAACCUCAAAGUUUUGAAAAACUUCGUUUGUUCCAUUAGAAAAAACUUCGUCAAAACACCGAACAGGCCAACGAUCAGAUGAUUUCAACUCUGAUUUUUGAAUUGUGAAGGAAGGAAUUACCUGGAUAUGUGAUCAGCUCGG
Molecule: long non-coding RNA, 296 nt
Organism: Neocloeon triangulifer
Lineage: Eukaryota; Metazoa; Arthropoda; Insecta; Ephemeroptera; Baetidae
Exons: 3
Source: RefSeq, a predicted model, not a curated record